UACGUAGGGUGCGAGCGUUGUCCGGAAUUAUUGGGCGUAAAGAGCUCGUAGGCGGUUUGUCGCGUCGGGAGUGAAAACUUCGGGCUUAACUCGGAGCUUGCUUUCGAUACGGGCAGACUUGAGGCAUUCAGGGGAGAACGGAAUUCCUGGUGUAGCGGUGAAAUGCGCAGAUAUCAGGAGGAACACCGGUGGCGAAGGCGGUUCUCUGGGAAUGUUCUGACGCUGAGGAGCGAAAGCGUGGGGAGCAAACAGG
This 253-nucleotide ribosomal RNA is filed under the name uncultured bacterium. RNAcentral describes it as "partial 16S ribosomal RNA". It matches the Rfam family "Bacterial small subunit ribosomal RNA", at positions 524 to 776 of the family's 1533-position model. The record is from RNAcentral.